RNAcentral lists this unclassified non-coding RNA (335 nucleotides) under soil metagenome. RNAcentral describes it as "partial contains 5.8S ribosomal RNA, internal transcribed spacer 2, and large subunit ribosomal RNA". The stretch from base 1 to 120 matches the Rfam family "5.8S ribosomal RNA", at positions 35 to 154 of the family's 154-position model. The record is from RNAcentral.
GAUGAAGAACGUAGCGAAAUGCGAUACGUAAUGUGAAUUGCAGAAUUCAGUGAAUCAUCGAAUCUUUGAACGCACAUUGCGCCCGCUAGUAUUCUGGCGGGCAUGCCUGUCCGAGCGUCAUUUCAACCCAUCAAGCUUAGCGCUUGUGUUGGAGCCCUGCGGCCGCCGCAGCCUCCUAAAAUCAGUGGCGGGCUCGCUAUCACGCUGAGUGCAGUAGUAUUCUUCUCACUCCUGUGGUGUAGCGGGUAACCAGCCGUAAACCCCCCCAUCUAUAAAGGUUGACCUCGGAUCAGGUAGGAAUACCCGCUGAACUUAAGCAUAUCAAUAAGCGGAGG